ACCACGCCCCCCUCUGCCUUGAACCACGCCCCCUCUCAAACCCCACCCCUUUCCAAAAAAACCACGCCUCCUUUCUGUAACCCCGCCCCCUUCCCCCCUUUGGCCCCUCCCCCUUUUCUGUGCGUUUUACAGAUAAAAGAGCUGAGUCGAUGCGGUGGGUGUGGUCUGUGGGGGCGGGGCUUAAGGGCGGGGGCGGGGCUUAAGGGCGGGGGGCGGGGCUUAAGGGUGGGGGAGGGGAGCGGGGCCCCGCGUGGGAUCUGUGGGGAAAUUCAGCCCCACAAGUGCCCCUAUUGCCCCACAUCUGCCCCUAUUGCCCCACAUCUGCCCCAUAUUGCCCCACAAGUGCCCCUAUUGCCCCACAUCUGCCCCUAUUGCCCCACAUCUGCCCCACAUCCGCCCCACAAGUGCCCCUAUUGCCCCACAUCCACACCACAUCUGCCCCUACUGCCCCACAUUGCCCCACAACUGCCCCACGUCCACCUCACAACUGCCCCUAUUUCCCCACAUCUGCCCCAUAACUGCCCCUAUUGCCCCACAACUGCUCCUAUUGCCCCACAAGUGCCCCUAUUGCCCCACAUCCACCCCACAACUGCCCCUAUUGCCCCACAUCCACCCCACAUCUGCCCCUAUUGCCCCACAUCCACCCCACAACUGCUCCUAUUGCCCCACAUCCACCUCCCAACUNNNNNNNNNNCCCCUAUUGCCCCACAUCCACCCCCAUCUGCCCCACAUCCACUUGCAUCACCUCCAGGAACCCCCGGAUCACAGCGCAGGAGGAGCAGCCCUGGUACCCCCCCCUUAAAGACCCCCCCAGUGCCCCACAUCGCCCCAUAGGACCCCCAGGUCCCCUCUGUGGGACCCACAUCUCCCAUUGGGACCCCCAAAUCCCAUUGGGACCCCCUUAUGGGACCCAC
Molecule: long non-coding RNA, 914 nt
Filed under: Phasianus colchicus (ring-necked pheasant)
Lineage: Eukaryota; Metazoa; Chordata; Aves; Galliformes; Phasianidae
Description: lncRNA (ENSPCLG00000013845.1)
Source: RNAcentral